CCUACGUGAGGCAGCAGUAGGGAAUAUUGCUCAAUGGGGGAAACCCUGCAGCAGCAACGCCGCGUGGAGGCUGAAGGUUUUCGGAUUGUAAACUCCUUUUGUUAGAGAAGAUAAUGACGGUAUCUAACGAAUAAGCACCGGCUAACUCCGUGCCAGCAGCCGCGAUAAUACGGAGGGUGCAAGCGUUACUCGGAAUCACUGGGCGUAAGGAGCGCGUAGGCGGGAUAGCAAGUCAGAUGUGAAAUCCUAUGGCUUAACCAUAGAACUGCAUUUGAAACUGUUAUUCUAGAGUAUGGGAGAGGUAGGUGGAAUUCUUGGUGUAGGGGUAAAAUCCGUAGAGAUCAAGAGGAAUACUCAUUGCGAAGGCGACCUGCUAGAACAUAACUGACGCUGAUGCGCGAAAGCGUGGGGAGCAAACAGGAUUAGAUACCCGAGUAGUC
Molecule: ribosomal RNA, 440 nt
Filed under: uncultured bacterium
Lineage: Bacteria
Description: partial 16S ribosomal RNA
Rfam family: Bacterial small subunit ribosomal RNA
Source: RNAcentral